This 253-nucleotide ribosomal RNA is filed under the name uncultured bacterium. RNAcentral describes it as "partial 16S ribosomal RNA". It matches the Rfam family "Bacterial small subunit ribosomal RNA", at positions 524 to 776 of the family's 1533-position model. The record is from RNAcentral.
UACGUGGGGUGCGAGCGUUAAUCGGAAUUACUGGGCGUAAAGGGCUCGUAGGCGGCCAACUAAGUCAGACGUGAAAUCCCUCGGCUUAACCGGGGAACUGCAUCUGAUACUGGAUGGCUUGAGAUUGGGAGAGGGAUGCGGAAUUCCAGGUGUAGCGGUGAAAUGCGUAGAUAUCUGGAGGAACACCGGUGGCGAAGGCGGCAUUCUGGACCGAAACUGACGCUGAGGCGCGAAAGCCAGGGGAGCAAACGGG